This 359-nucleotide long non-coding RNA is filed under the name Mytilus galloprovincialis (Mediterranean mussel). The record is from RNAcentral. Lineage: Eukaryota; Metazoa; Mollusca; Bivalvia; Mytilida; Mytilidae.
GCUUUUGUUCCGGUUCAUGUUAUUAUACGCGUAGUCUUAAAGAUAUAUUGAAAUUCAGACAUACCUCCGUUUCCUUAAAAUAUGAUUCUGAAUUAUGUUCUGCAAUGUUAUUUCAGCUCUCACCAAGAAUGGGAUCGAUUCAAGAAAACUGAUUCAGUGUAUGUCGGUGAAGAUUAACGUAAAUAGGCAAAGUAUCGUCAUUUAAGACACAAACGUUCCCCGAACAAAAUGUCCGUCGCAGACCACAAUGUAAAGGUAUGCUUUACCUUUGUUCCGUACACGAGUUUCUUUAAUGGAGUGUACAGUUCUCAGUAAGUUUGAAAUGUGCAAACUUUAUGUUUUAUUUCUAAAAAAAAACC